RNAcentral lists this ribosomal RNA (468 nucleotides) under uncultured bacterium. RNAcentral describes it as "partial 16S ribosomal RNA". It matches the Rfam family "Bacterial small subunit ribosomal RNA", at positions 28 to 507 of the family's 1533-position model. The record is from RNAcentral.
GACGAACGCUGGCGGCGUGCUUAACACAUGCAAGUCGAACGGAAAGGCCCUGCUUUUGUGGGGUGCUCGAGUGGCGAACGGGUGAGUAACACGUGAGUAACCUGCCCUUGACUUUGGGAUAACUUCAGGAAACUGGGGCUAAUACCGGAUAGGAGCUCCUGCUGCAUGGUGGGGGUUGGAAAGUUUCGGCGGUUGGGGAUGGACUCGCGGCUUAUCCGCUUGUUGGUGGGGUAGUGGCUUACCAAGGCUUUGACGGGUAGCCGGCCUGAGAGGGUGACCGGCCACAUUGGGACUGAGAUACGGCCCAGAAUCCUACGGGAGGCAGCAGGGGGGAAUAUUGCACAAUGGGCGGAAGCCUGAUGCAGCAACGCCGCGUGCGGGAUGACGGCCUUCGGGUUGUAAACCGCUUUCGACUGUGACGAAGCGUGAGUGACGGUAAUGGGUAAAGAAGCACCGGCUAACUACGUG